GGAGGAGUGGCAGAGUCUGGCUGAUUGCGGCGGUCUUGAAAACCGUUGUGGCUUCGCGCCACCGUGGGUUCGAAUCCUACCUCCUCCG
Molecule: transfer RNA, 88 nt
Filed under: bacterium
Lineage: Bacteria
Also listed under: 1 other name
Description: tRNA-Ser
Rfam family: tRNA
About the family: Transfer RNA (tRNA) molecules are approximately 80 nucleotides in length. Their secondary structure includes four short double-helical elements and three loops (D, anti-codon, and T loops).
Source: RNAcentral